RNAcentral lists this ribosomal RNA (253 nucleotides) under uncultured bacterium. RNAcentral's name for it is "partial 16S ribosomal RNA". It matches the Rfam family "Bacterial small subunit ribosomal RNA", at positions 524 to 776 of the family's 1533-position model. The record is from RNAcentral.
UACAGAGGGGGCAAGCGUUGUUCGGAAUUACUGGGCGUAAAGGGCGCGUAGGCGGGUCCGGCAGUCAGGGGUGAAAUCCCACGGCCCAACCGUGGAAGUGCCUCUGAUACUUCGGACCUCGAGGGAGGUAGGGGCGUGCGGAACUCAGGGUGGAGCGGUGAAAUGCGUAGAUAUCCUGAGGAACACCGGUGGCGAAAGCGGCGCGCUGGAUUUCUUCUGACGCUGAGGCGCGAAAGCCAGGGGAGCAAACGGG